AGUGAACGCUGGCGGUAGGCCUAACACAUGCAAGUCGAACGGCAGCACAGUAAGAGCUUGCUCUUACGGGUGGCGAGUGGCGGACGGGUGAGGAAUACAUCGGAAUCUACUUUUUCGUGGGGGAUAACGUAGGGAAACUUACGCUAAUACCGCAUACGACCUACGGGUGAAAGCAGGGGAUCUUCGGACCUUGCGCGAUUGAAUGAGCCGAUGUCGGAUUAGCUAGUUUGCGGGGUAAAGGCCCACCAAGGCGACGAUCCGUAGCUGGUCUGAGAGGAUGAUCAGCCACACUGGAACUGAGACACGGUCCAGACUCCUACGGGAGGCAGCAGUGGGGAAUAUUGGACAAUGGGCGCAAGCCUGAUCCAGCCAUACCGCGUGGGUGAAGAAGGCCUUCGGGUUGUAAAGCCCUUUUGUUGGGAAAGAAAAGCAGCAGGUUAAUACCCCGCUGUUCUGACGGUACCCAAAGAAUAAGCACCGGCUAACUUCGUG
RNAcentral lists this ribosomal RNA (492 nucleotides) under uncultured bacterium. Its description in RNAcentral is "partial 16S ribosomal RNA". It matches the Rfam family "Bacterial small subunit ribosomal RNA", at positions 29 to 507 of the family's 1533-position model. The record is from RNAcentral.